Sinocyclocheilus grahami is the source of this 427-nucleotide long non-coding RNA. NCBI's taxonomy places the organism in Eukaryota, Metazoa, Chordata, Actinopteri, Cypriniformes, Cyprinidae. The record is from Ensembl.
CCAAUCAGCUCGCGCUGGCCUCGUGUGACGUCACGCGCCAGCUGGUUCUCGGAACAAAAGCGGUCUGCGCGCUCCGCUCCUCCCCGCCGGAUACCACCGAGAAAACGCGGACGCGUUCGUUUUUAGCGUCAAAGUUAGUUUUAUAGGAAUGUGCGGCGUGACAUACGCCCGCAUACAGUGUAAAAGUGUAAAUCCCGGCGAGUGUUUGUGUCCGCGCUGAAGCUCCGAGGGAUUCUCGCGAGAGAGUUCGAGGCCUGAUAAAAGUCGUCCGGCUGACGUGGAUCCUCCUUCAUUCCUGCAGUGAUCCGGAAGUGCUGCCGACUCCACUCUGGACUUCUUCUUGUGCAUGGGACCGUGUCAUCUCUUCUGAUUGGCUGCCGCUCACCGGUCCGUCCUGCUCAUGAGGUAACCCCGGCUGUGGUUGUUG